GGUCUUAUAUUCACUAAUGAUAUAAAAUUGCAAAUUUUAAGGAGUAAAAAUAACAUUACUAAGGCUU
This 67-nucleotide transfer RNA is filed under the name Vamuna virilis. Its description in RNAcentral is "tRNA-Cys". Lineage: Eukaryota; Metazoa; Arthropoda; Insecta; Lepidoptera; Erebidae. The record is from RNAcentral.